GUUGCUAUGGCAACACCCUGGGGUUUGUAGUUGAGUCAGGCCCAAGGCCUCUCUGGCUAAUUUGGGCCCUCUCCAGGUUUGGACUCCAACUCCCAGAAUUCCCAACAGCCUCGGGUCCCUUUCUGUUUCCCCUCAGCUGAGUCACCUCAAACAAAGAAGAUGAGUCACAAAGGGGUGAGGGAGUCAAUCAAGAGAAUGGAGGACAUAAUGCUGUGAAAUGAUCCUAUCCCUUGGUCAAGGGAUAGUUCCUCAAGCCAUCACCAUUGAUAAAGGCAGAGUCAAAUUUCCCAUAGUUAUGGGUCUCUAAGGGCAGAUCCGCACCACGGAAUCCAUUGUGCAACAUGCCAGGACCAAGAUGGUUGCCUUCCUUCUCUGCUUCGAACGAUUCUUGACGACAUGUGUUCUUCACAAUAACGCUGACGACAGGGACAUCAGAAGCCGGCGCUGUGUGGGACAAUGAGGCAUUUUCAUCAAUACAAAUUCCUGACUGCUUGAGAUGGUUUUCAUUCUCCUCCCCAGCUGUUUGAAUGGCUUCCUUUGCAUCGAGGCUGGUUGGAUCAGGAAUGUCAAAAGCAGCCAGCAAGUCGUCAAAAUCCGGAGUUUUCAUGUCCCCCAUGAUGAAAACUACAAAGCAAGAACACACUGUCAAAAACAUGGUCUCUAUAGAUUUGAGUACAGAUAUGAGUUCAAGUAAGUGACAAAAGGAAGACAAGUGAAUUGCUCUGCUAUUAGUUCCUAUAAUCUAGAGUAGGUAUUUCAAUCCCAAAUAUUUUUGGCAUACAAUUCCUAUCAUCCGCAUCCAGAACAGUAAAUAUUGAGUGAUUACAGAUGUUUCAGUUCAAAACCUCAGAAGAAAAAUAGGGAUCAACCUCUGUUGCAGAACUUCAGUUGUUAGGCAGGCAAACUACUCACACUUUCUAGCAGAACUAAAGACCUAAGGACAAUAAAGCAAAAUUGACUUUUUCAAAGUA
This is a long non-coding RNA of Anolis carolinensis (green anole), 971 nucleotides long. RefSeq lists it as uncharacterized. Lineage: Eukaryota; Metazoa; Chordata; Lepidosauria; Squamata; Anolidae. The record is from RefSeq and is a predicted model, not a curated record. The transcript is spliced from 4 exons.